This 253-nucleotide ribosomal RNA is filed under the name uncultured bacterium. RNAcentral's name for it is "partial 16S ribosomal RNA". It matches the Rfam family "Bacterial small subunit ribosomal RNA", at positions 524 to 776 of the family's 1533-position model. The record is from RNAcentral.
UACGUAGGGUGCGAGCGUUAAUCGGAAUUACUGGGCGUAAAGCGUGCGCAGGCGGUUCGCCAAGUCAGAUGUGAAAGCCCCGGGCUCAACCUGGGAACUGCAUUUGAAACUGGCGGGCUUGAGUGUGGCAGAGGGGGGUGGAAUUCCGCGUGUAGCAGUGAAAUGCGUAGAGAUGCGGAGGAACACCGAUGGCGAAGGCAGCCCCCUGGGCCAACACUGACGCUCAGGCACGAAAGCGUGGGGAGCAAACAGG